GAUGAACGCUGGCGGCGUGCCUAAUACAUGCGAGUCGAGCGAACAGACGAGGAGCCUGCUCCUCUGACGUUAGCGGCGGACGGGUGAGUAACACGUGGAUAACCUACCUAUAAGACUGGGAUAACUUCGGGAAACCGGAGCUAAUACCGGAUAAUAUAUUGAACCGCAUGGUUCAAUAGUGAAAGACGGUUUUGCUGUCACUUAUAGAUGGAUCCGCGCCUCAUUAGCUAGUUGGUAAGGUAACGGCUUACCAAGGCAACGAUGCGUAGCCGACCUGAGAGGGUGAUCGGCCACACUGGAACUGAGACACGGUCCAGACUCCUACGGGAGGCAGCAGUAGGGAAUCUUCCGCAAUGGGCGAAAGCUUGACGGAGCAACGCCGCGUGAGUGAUGAAGGUCUUCGGAUCGUAAAACUCUGUUAUUAGGGAAGAACAAAUGUGUAAGUAACUAUGCACGUCUUGACGGUACCUAAUCAGAAAGCCGCGGCUAACUACGUG
This 497-nucleotide ribosomal RNA is filed under the name uncultured bacterium. RNAcentral describes it as "partial 16S ribosomal RNA". It matches the Rfam family "Bacterial small subunit ribosomal RNA", at positions 28 to 507 of the family's 1533-position model. The record is from RNAcentral.